GACGAACGCUGGCGGCGUGCCUAAUACAUGCAAGUAGAACGCUGAAGAGAGGAGCUUGCUCUUCUUGGAUGAGUUGCGAACGGGUGAGUAACGCGUAGGUAACCUGCCUGGUAGCGGGGGAUAACUAUUGGAAACGAUAGCUAAUACCGCAUGAUAUUAAUUGUCGCAUGAUAAUUAAUUGAAAGAUGCAAUUGCAUCACUACCAGAUGGACCUGCGUUGUAUUAGCUAGUUGGUGAGGUAACGGCUCACCAAGGCGACGAUACAUAGCCGACCUGAGAGGGUGAUCGGCCACACUGGGACUGAGACACGGCCCAGACUCCUACGGGAGGCAGCAGUAGGGAAUCUUCGGCAAUGGGGGGAACCCUGACCGAGCAACGCCGCGUGAGUGAAGAAGGUUUUCGGAUCGUAAAGCUCUGUUGUAAGAGAAGAACGGGUGUGAGAGUGGAAAGGUCACACUGUGACGGUAUCUUACCAGAAAGGGACGGCUAACUACGUGC
Molecule: ribosomal RNA, 498 nt
Filed under: uncultured Streptococcus sp.
Lineage: Bacteria; Bacillati; Bacillota; Bacilli; Lactobacillales; Streptococcaceae
Description: bacterial SSU rRNA
Rfam family: Bacterial small subunit ribosomal RNA
Source: RNAcentral